UUUUAUAUGGAGUGAGCU
Molecule: unclassified non-coding RNA, 18 nt
Filed under: Mus musculus (house mouse)
Lineage: Eukaryota; Metazoa; Chordata; Mammalia; Rodentia; Muridae
Description: oocyte_clustered_small_RNA5352
Source: RNAcentral